GCCUUUGGUCUGUUCCUCUGCAGUCUGCCAGGCCAGGGGUCGUACGUAGCCGUAGUGAUAUUGAACAGCUGACUAAGUGCUUCACUGUCCUGAGCUAAACUUAGCUUUGACAAUACCAGCCACCAGCACACUCGUAUGCUCCCCAUGUUACAAUGAAGCACAGGGUAAAUGGUGUAGAGUUACUGCAGAUGGCUGUACUGCGUGAGUUGCACCGUCCACACAAGAUUUGAUAGAAUCUGGAGAACUUUAAGCAGUCACUUUGCUCAUCAUCACCUUGGCAUUACUCUGUCGCCAUGGGCAACGUUAACUCCGCCCUCACUGCUGACAUUGAAGAUUUUGAUUCAAUUGUGUCUGUGUCGGAGAGACUGAAUGAGCUGGCCACCCAUGUGGCAGAUGAGAGACUGCAGGCACAGCUUUUGUCUCUGGAAAGUAUUCUUCUAUGGUGGUCUUCUACAUAUGUUCAUGUUUUAGACAUGUUAACACUAUUGUAUACAUAAAACACUGUAUGCCACAUUCAAAUUGAUCUAUCACAGGAACUUAAU
Long non-coding RNA from Osmerus eperlanus (European smelt), 542 nucleotides. RefSeq lists it as uncharacterized. NCBI's taxonomy places the organism in Eukaryota, Metazoa, Chordata, Actinopteri, Osmeriformes, Osmeridae. The transcript is spliced from 3 exons. The record is from RefSeq and is a predicted model, not a curated record.